GGUUGCGAUCAUACCAGCACUAAUGCACCGGAUACCAUCAGAACUCCGCACUUUAGCGUGCUUGGGCGAGUGUAGUACUAGGAUGGGUGACUCCCUGGGAAGUCCUCGUGUUGCAACCCCCUUUUUUUCGUUUUUUUAUUGUUUUUAUUAUAUUUACUAGUCGAUGUAUCUUUGGCGUAGCAUCCGAUCGACCGAUUUUGUGAAAGGAAAGCUUUAAUGAAGGCGCGCGCGCGCACGGCGGGUCUGAGGCGCGUGACGUAGGCUACACAUGAGGGCAUAGGUGCGCAUGGUAUCAAGGCGUUGAAAUGUACACAGGAAUAAGGAGACGGAUUCUUUCGGUUGCGAUCAUACCAGCACUAAUGCACCGGAUCCUAUCAGAACUCCGCAGUUAAGCGUGCUUGGGCGAAAGUAGUACUAGGAUGGGUGACCCCCUGAAAAGUCCUCGUGUUGCAACCC
Molecule: long non-coding RNA, 456 nt
Filed under: Helianthus annuus (common sunflower)
Lineage: Eukaryota; Viridiplantae; Streptophyta; Magnoliopsida; Asterales; Asteraceae
Source: RNAcentral